GGUGAGACAUUAUUUCCGGCUGUGUCUGAGGGUGUUCCCAGUUGAGACAGGCAUUUAACUUAGCUGACUGAGAAAAGCAGACUGCCACCCUCCCCAAUGGGCGGCGGGGGGGGCAUCACUCAGUCCAGUGAGGCUCUAAACAGAACAAAACCGCCAAGGAAGCAAGAAUUCUCUGCCUCAGCCUGACUGCUGAGUUGGUAUAUUGGUCUUCUGCUCUUGGACUGGGACUUACACCAUUGGCACUCCUUCUCUGGCCCUGGAAUGGAACCACACCUCCAUCUUUCAUGGGUCUCCAGCUUGUAGACAGCAGACUGUGGGACUUCUCAGCCUCUAUAAUCACACAUGAAUGCACAUAUCUGUACUACAAGAAGCAAAGGUGUUGUUGCUCUGCCAAUCAACAUCCAAUGCUGGUGCUGCAAAGGAACAAAGGAUGUACGAGAAAUUAGUAUGAUUAACAGCCAAGAAGCCUGAGAGAAUUCUGAAAACUAGAAGCAAAGAUGAAAAGGAAGCACAACAGGUACAGAAGAGAAUGAAGACAUUCUCUGCUUCAAAACUUGUCAGUUUUGCCUACUUGUGAGUGCCACUAAAGGCCUAUGAAACCCUUCCACUGUGUGACACUAAUGUUGUAUGGGGGCCUUAUAUCCAAAGUUCAACAACUGACAGUGAUUGCUCUGGACCAGGAUCUACAUCACCCCACCUCAUGCAUGCCAAAAGUAUUCUCACAGACUCACACAACUAAGAAUGAAGGUAGAGUGGUGGACUGGGAAGAACAUCAAAUUCAUAGUCUUACAAUGAUUUAUUAGAAGU
This is a long non-coding RNA of Homo sapiens (human), 807 nucleotides long. RefSeq annotates it as TBL1XR1 antisense RNA 1. The record is from RefSeq and is marked validated. NCBI's taxonomy places the organism in Eukaryota, Metazoa, Chordata, Mammalia, Primates, Hominidae. The transcript is spliced from 4 exons.